AUUGAACGCUGGCGGCAGGCCUAACACAUGCAAGUCGAACGGUAACAGGAAGAAGCUUGCUUCUUUGCUGACGAGUGGCGGACGGGUGAGUAAUGUCUGGGAAACUGCCUGAUGGAGGGGGAUAACUACUGGAAACGGUAGCUAAUACCGCAUAAUGUCGCAAGACCAAAGAGGGGGACCUUCGGGCCUCUUGCCAUCGGAUGUGCCCAGAUGGGAUUAGCUAGUAGGUGGGGUAACGGCUCACCUAGGCGACGAUCCCUAGCUGGUCUGAGAGAAUGACCAGCCACACUGGAACUGAGACACGGUCCAGACUCCUACGGGAGGCAGCAGUGGGGAAUAUUGCACAAUGGGCGCAAGCCUGAUGCAGCUAUGCCGCGUGUAUGAAGAAGGCCUUCGGGUUGUAAAGUACUUUCAGCGGGGAGGAAGGGAGUAAAGUUAAUACCUUUGCUCAUUGACGUUACCCGCAGAAGAAGCACCGGCUAACUCCGUG
This 490-nucleotide ribosomal RNA is filed under the name uncultured bacterium. Its description in RNAcentral is "partial 16S ribosomal RNA". It matches the Rfam family "Bacterial small subunit ribosomal RNA", at positions 30 to 507 of the family's 1533-position model. The record is from RNAcentral.